Long non-coding RNA from Maniola jurtina (meadow brown), 97 nucleotides. RefSeq lists it as uncharacterized. The transcript is spliced from 3 exons. The record is from RefSeq and is a predicted model, not a curated record. NCBI's taxonomy places the organism in Eukaryota, Metazoa, Arthropoda, Insecta, Lepidoptera, Nymphalidae.
UUAUAAGUUUGACGUUAACUUUUUGACGUCCGUUAAUAAAGCGUUCAGAUAGAUCAAAUGCAUUCCCAAGACGUAUCUGUUCACAUGUCAACGCUUU